CUUUUUAUCGGCGGCAGCAGCUGUACUCGUACGGCUGUUGUUGUUUGAUAUUUCCACCCUUGUCUUUUGCGCACCCCCCGUUUCCUCGGCUGCUCUAGCCAGCCGUCAGGACACUUUUAUAACCUUUUGUACUGUACGAUCAGCGUCUGAAAAUAAGAAAUUAUUA
RNAcentral lists this unclassified non-coding RNA (166 nucleotides) under uncultured Ascomycota. RNAcentral's name for it is "sequence contains ITS1". Lineage: Eukaryota; Fungi; Ascomycota. The record is from RNAcentral.